Molecule: ribosomal RNA, 440 nt
Filed under: uncultured bacterium
Lineage: Bacteria
Description: partial 16S ribosomal RNA
Rfam family: Bacterial small subunit ribosomal RNA
Source: RNAcentral
CCUACGGGUGGCAGCAGUGGGGAAUAUUGCUCAAUGGGGGAAACCCUGAAGCAGCAACGCCGCGUGGAGGAUGAAGGUUUUCGGAUUGUAAACUCCUUUUGUUAGAGAAGAUAAUGACGGUAUCUCACGAAUAAGCACCGGCUAACUCCGUGCCAGCAGCCGCGGUAAUACGGAGGGUGCAAGCGUUACUCGGAAUCACUGGGCGUAAAGAGCGCGUAGGCGGGAUAGCAAGUCAGAUGUGAAAUCCUGUGGCUUAACCAUAGAACUGCAUUUGAAACUGUUAGUCUAGAGUGUGGGAGAGGUAGGUGGAAUUCUUGGUGUAGGGGUAAAAUCCGUAGAGAUCAAGAGGAAUACUCAUUGCGAAGGCGACCUACUAGAACAUAACUGACGCUGAGGCACGAAAGCGUGGGGAGCAAACAGGAUUAGAUACCCUUGUAGUC